GGAGGGGGCGGCGGCGGCGGCGGCGGGGCCGGGAACGCGUGGCCUGGCCGGGCUGAGGAAACAGCAACCCCUCCAGGCUCUCCUACAGCACCUCCAGGGACUAAAACUUGCCUCAGCCACGUGACUAUCCUGAUCUGCCUGCUGGGAGAUGAGCAAAGGUCUGAGAGGGACUAGAUCUCAGCAGAGACAGCAGUUCCUGAGCACCCACCCCCCAGUGCUUCCAGAAAUGCAAUGCAACAUGGACCAACCUGUGAGCAUUUGCUCCUCCUCAGGGGCAGCCAUGAGAUACAGAAACAGUAGGAUUAGGAUAUAUCAAGACAUGGAUUUGCUAGACACUGCCUGCCAACAUUCUCCCUCCUCCCCUCAGAUCUAUGGUGUGUUAAACAAUUAAAAUAUUCAAAACCAGAGACAUUACUUUGCCGACUGAGGUCCGUCUAGUCAAGGCUAUGGUUUUUCCUGUGGUCAUGUAUGGAUGUGAGAGUUGGACUGCAAAGAAGGCUGAGCGCUGAAGAAUUGAUGCUUUUGAAGUGUGGUAUUGGAGAAGACUUUUCAGAGUCCCUUGGACUGCAAGGAGAUCCAACCAGUCCAUUCUGAAGGAGAUCAACCCUGGGAUUUCUUUGGAAGGAAUGAUGCUAAAGCUGAAGCUCUAGUACUUUGGCCACCUCAUGCGAAGAGUUGACUCAUUGGAAAAGACUGUGAUGCUGGGAGGGAUUGGGGCCAGGAGGAAAAGGGGAUGACAGAGGAUGAGAUGGCUGGAUGGCAUCACUGACUCAAUGGACGUGAGUCUGAGUGAACUCCGGGAGUUGAUGAUGGACAGGGAGUUCUGGUGGUGCUGCGAUUCAUGGGGUUGCAAAGAGUCAGACAUGACUGAGCGACUGAACUGAACUGAACUGAACAAUUAAAAGGGACCUGUGUUGAGCAAGUAAACUUUUUUAUACUUAAGAACCAGGGUAACCAUCACCUAGCCUCCUUCCUUGAAAUCAGACUAUUAUGUGGCAUAUGGGAGUGGACCACCUCCUGGUACUCCCACUGCCAACAAGUAGAGGUCUGGUUUCCUGAGGCUGAUGCUACUCUAU
Long non-coding RNA from Budorcas taxicolor (takin), 1076 nucleotides. RefSeq lists it as uncharacterized. Lineage: Eukaryota; Metazoa; Chordata; Mammalia; Artiodactyla; Bovidae. The transcript has 3 exons. The record is from RefSeq and is a predicted model, not a curated record.